Molecule: long non-coding RNA, 427 nt
Filed under: Lonchura striata (white-rumped munia)
Lineage: Eukaryota; Metazoa; Chordata; Aves; Passeriformes; Estrildidae
Description: domestica (Bengalese finch) lncRNA (ENSLSDG00000003755.1)
Source: RNAcentral
GGAGGAGGAAGGUGAGGAAGGCCACAGGGGGAUUGGGGGGGGGCGGACAUGAGGAGGAGGAGGGUGAGGAAGGGCCUGAGGAGGAUUUGAGAGGAGGGUGAGGGUGAGGAAGGAGCUGAGGGGGGUGAGGAAGGGCCUGAGAAGGAUUUGAGGAAGAGGAAGGUGAGGAAGAAGCUGAGAGGGAUUUGAGGAGGAAGAGGAGGGUGAGGAAGGGCCUGAGGGGGAUUUGAGGAGGAAGAGGAGGGUGAGGAAGGGCCUGAGGAGGAAGAGGAGGGUGAGGAAGGCCACAGGGGGAUUUGAGGAGGAGGAGGAGGGUGAGGAAGGCCACAGGGGGAUUUGAGGAGGGUGAGGAAGGGCCUGAGGGGGAUUUGGGGGGUCCUGAGGAGGAGGAAGAGGGGAGGAAGGCAGCGCCAGCCUCGGGGGAGGG